AGAGUUUGAUCAUGGCUCAGGAUGAACGCUAGCUACAGGCUUAACACAUGCAAGUCGAGGGGCAGCAUGGUCUUAGCUUGCUAAGGCUGAUGGCGACCGGCGCACGGGUGAGUAACACGUAUCCAACCUGCCGUCUACUCUUGGACAGCCUUCUGAAAGGAAGAUUAAUACAAGAUGGCAUCAUGAGUCCGCAUGUUCACAUGAUUAAAGGUAUUCCGGUAGACGAUGGGGAUGCGUUCCAUUAGAUAGUAGGCGGGGUAACGGCCCACUAGUCUUCGAUGGAUAGGGGUCUGAGAGGAAGGUCCCCANAUUGGAACUGAGACACGGUCCAAACUCCUACGGGAGGCA
RNAcentral lists this ribosomal RNA (348 nucleotides) under uncultured bacterium. RNAcentral's name for it is "bacterial SSU rRNA". It matches the Rfam family "Bacterial small subunit ribosomal RNA", at positions 8 to 350 of the family's 1533-position model. The record is from RNAcentral.